GAGUUUGAUCCUGGCUCAGAACGUACGCUGGCGGCACGCCUAACACAUGCAAGUCGAACGCAGUAGCAAUACUGAGUGGCAAACGGGUGAGUAUAAUGUGGGAAUCUGCCUUUUGGUUCGGAAUAACACGAGGAAACUUGUGCUAAUACCGGAUAAGCCCUUACGGGGAAAGUUUUAAUGCCAAAAGAUGAGCCCGCACUUGAUUAGCUAGUUGGUAAGGUAAUGGCUUACCAAGGCAACGAUCAAUAGCUGUUCUUAGAGGAAGACCAGCCACAUUGGGACUGAGACACGGCCCAAACUCCUACGGGAGGCAGCAGUGGGGAAUCUUGCACAAUGGGGGAAACCCUGAUGCAGCGAUGCCGCGUGAGUGAAGAAGGCCCUUGGGUUGUAAAACUCUUUCGUCGGGGAAGAAAAUGACUGUACCCGAAUAAGAAGGUCCGGCUAACUUCGUGCCAGCAGCCGCGGUAAUACGAAGGGACCUAGCGUAGUUCGGAAUUACUGGGCUUAAAGAGUUCGUAGGUGGUUAAAAAAGUUGAUGGUGAAAUCCCAAGGCUCAACCUUGGAACUGCCAUCAAAACUUUUUAGCUAGAGUGUGAUAGAGGAAAGUGGAAUUUCUAGUGUAGAGGUGAAAU
RNAcentral lists this ribosomal RNA (632 nucleotides) under uncultured bacterium. RNAcentral describes it as "bacterial SSU rRNA". It matches the Rfam family "Bacterial small subunit ribosomal RNA", at positions 9 to 687 of the family's 1533-position model. The record is from RNAcentral.